Molecule: long non-coding RNA, 233 nt
Filed under: Mytilus galloprovincialis (Mediterranean mussel)
Lineage: Eukaryota; Metazoa; Mollusca; Bivalvia; Mytilida; Mytilidae
Source: RNAcentral
CAAAUAACUGAGAGUUCAAUACAUGAGUUUUUGCACUAUAAUUCACAAUCAUUUAUAUAUCAGCAUACGUGUAUUAAAAUAAUCUUCAGGUUACCUUUCCUUGAUGCAAAAAAUGGCUUUUGUCAUAAGUUGAAAACAGAUCACAAAAAUUAGCUUACAAAUUUUGGUUAUGGUAUAAAGAUGGAUAUUGAUAAUCAGUAGUGUAUAACAAUAAUUAUUAAACAAGGAACAGA